CAAGUCGAGCGAACGGACGAGAAGCUUGCUUCUCUGAUGUUAGCGGCGGACGGGUGAGUAACACGUGGAUAACCUACCUAUAAGACUGGGAUAACUUCGGGAAACCGGAGCUAAUACCGGAUAAUAUUUUGAACCGCAUGGUUCAAAAGUGAAAGACGGUCUUGCUGUCACUUAUAGAUGGAUCCGCGCUGCAUUAGCUAGUUGGUAAGGUAACGGCUUACCAAGGCAACGAUGCAUAGCCGACCUGAGAGGGUGAUCGGCCACACUGGAACUGAGACACGGUCCAGACUCCUACGGGAGGCAGCAGUAGGGAAUCUUCCGCAAUGGGCGAAAGCCUGACGGAGCAACGCCGCGUGAGUGAUGAAGGUCUUCGGAUCGUAAAACUCUGUUAUUAGGGAAGAACAUAUGUGUAAGUAACUGUGCACAUCUUGACGGUACCUAAUCAGAAAGCCACGGCUAACUACGUGCCAGCAGCCGCGGUAAUACGUAGGUGGCAAGCGUUAUCCGGAAUUAUUGGGCGUAAAGCGCGCGUAGGCGGUUUUUUAAGUCUGAUGUGAAAGCCCACGGCUCAACCGUGGAGGGUCAUUGGAAACUGGAAAACUUGAGUGCAGAAGAGGAAAGUGGAAUUCCAUGUGUAGCGGUGAAAUGCGCAGAGAUAUGGAGGAACACCAGUGGCGAAGGCGACUUUC
Molecule: ribosomal RNA, 689 nt
Filed under: uncultured Staphylococcus sp.
Lineage: Bacteria; Bacillati; Bacillota; Bacilli; Caryophanales; Staphylococcaceae
Description: bacterial SSU rRNA
Rfam family: Bacterial small subunit ribosomal RNA
Source: RNAcentral